UACCUACGGGGGGCAGCAGUGGGGGAUAUUGGACAAUGGGGGGAACCCUGAUCCAGCGACGCCGCGUGAGUGAAGAAGUAUUUCGGUAUGUAAAGCUCUAUCAGCAGGGAAGAUAAUGACGGUACCUGACUAAGAAGCCCCGGCUAACUACGUGCCAGCAGCCGCGGUAAUACGUAGGGGGCAAGCGUUAUCCGGAUUUACUGGGUGUAAAGGGAGCGUAGGUGGCAGGGCAAGUCAGAUGUGAAAACCCGGGGCUCAACCCCGGGAGUGCAUUUGAAACUGUCCAGCUGGAGGGCAGGAGAGGG
This 305-nucleotide ribosomal RNA is filed under the name uncultured bacterium. Its description in RNAcentral is "bacterial SSU rRNA". It matches the Rfam family "Bacterial small subunit ribosomal RNA", at positions 335 to 658 of the family's 1533-position model. The record is from RNAcentral.